RNAcentral lists this ribosomal RNA (490 nucleotides) under uncultured bacterium. Its description in RNAcentral is "partial 16S ribosomal RNA". It matches the Rfam family "Bacterial small subunit ribosomal RNA", at positions 30 to 507 of the family's 1533-position model. The record is from RNAcentral.
AUUGAACGCUGGCGGCAGGCCUAACACAUGCAAGUCGAACGGUAACAGGAAGCAGCUUGCUGCUUCGCUGACGAGUGGCGGACGGGUGAGUAAUGUCUGGGAAACUGCCUGAUGGAGGGGGAUAACUACUGGAAACGGUAGCUAAUACCGCAUAACGUCGCAAGACCAAAGAGGGGGACCUUAGGGACUCUUGUCAUCGGAUGUGCCCAGAUGGGAUUAGCUAGUAGGUGGGGUAACGGCUCACCUAGGCGACGAUCCCUAGCUGGUCUGAGAGGAUGACCAGCCACACUGGAACUGAGACACGGUCCAGACUCCUACGGGAGGCAGCAGUGGGGAAUAUUGCACAAUGGGCGCAAGCCUGAUGCAGCCAUGCCGCGUGUAUGAAGAAGGCCUUCGGGUUGUAAAGUACUUUCAGCGGGGAGGAAGGGAGUAAAGUUAAUACCUUUGCUCAUUGACGUUACCCGCAGAAGAAGCACCGGCUAACUCCGUG